RNAcentral lists this ribosomal RNA (253 nucleotides) under uncultured bacterium. Its description in RNAcentral is "partial 16S ribosomal RNA". It matches the Rfam family "Bacterial small subunit ribosomal RNA", at positions 524 to 776 of the family's 1533-position model. The record is from RNAcentral.
UACAGAGACUGCAAGCGUUGUUCGGAUUCAUUGGGCGUAAAGGGUGCGUAGGUGGCAUGGUAAGUUGAAGGUGAAAUCUCGGAGCUCAACUCCGAAACUGCCUUCAAUACUGCUGUGCUUGAGAGCUGUAGAGGAGAAUGGAAUUCACGGUGUAGCAGUGAAAUGCGUAGAUAUCGUGAGGAAGACCAGUGGCGAAGGCGAUUCUCUGGGCAGUUUCUGACACUGAGGCACGAAGGCUAGGGGAGCAAACGGG